UACGUAGGGUCCGAGCGUUGUCCGGAAUUAUUGGGCGUAAAGGGCUCGUAGGCGGUUUGUUGCGUCGGGAGUGAAAACCCAGGGCUUAACUCUGGGCUUGCUUUCGAUACGGGCAGACUUGAGGCAUUGAGGGGAGAACGGAACUCCUGGUGUAGCGGUGAAAUGCGCAGAUAUCAGGAAGAACACCGGUAGCGAAGGCGGUUCUCUGGCAAUGUUCUGACGCUGAGGAGCGAAAGUGUGGGGAGCAAACAGG
RNAcentral lists this ribosomal RNA (253 nucleotides) under uncultured bacterium. RNAcentral describes it as "partial 16S ribosomal RNA". It matches the Rfam family "Bacterial small subunit ribosomal RNA", at positions 524 to 776 of the family's 1533-position model. The record is from RNAcentral.